RNAcentral lists this ribosomal RNA (446 nucleotides) under uncultured bacterium. Its description in RNAcentral is "partial 16S ribosomal RNA". It matches the Rfam family "Bacterial small subunit ribosomal RNA", at positions 338 to 795 of the family's 1533-position model. The record is from RNAcentral.
CCUACGGGAGGCUGCAGUCGAGAAUCAUUCACAAUGGGGGAAACCCUGAUGGUGCGACGCCGCGUGGGGGAAUGAAGGUCUUCGGAUUGUAAACCCCUGUCAUGUGGGAGCAAAUUAAAAAGAUAGUACCACAAGAGGAAGAGACAGCUAACUCUGUGCCAGCAGCCGCGGUAAUACAGAGGUCUCAAGCGUUGUUCGGAAUCACUGGGCGUAAAGCGUGCGUAGGCUGUUUCGUAAGUCGUGUGUGAAAGGCGCGGGCUCAACCCGCGGACGGCACAUGAUACUGCGAGACUAGAGUAAUGGAGGGGGAACCGGAAUUCUCGGUGUAGCAGUGAAAUGCGUAGAUAUCGAGAGGAACACUCGUGGCGAAGGCGGGUUACUGGACAUUAACUGACGCUGAGGCACGAAGGCCAGGGGAGCGAAAGGGAUUAGAUACCCGUGUAGUC